GACGAACGCUGGCGGCGUGCCUAACACAUGCAAGUCGAGCGGAGGUAGUUUGAUGGUAACUGAUGACUACUUUAGCGGCGGACGGGUGAGUAACACGUGGGCAACCUGCCUCAAAGAGGGGGAUAACACCGAGAAAUCGGUGCUAAUACCGCAUAACAUCAGCUUACUGCAUGGUGAGCUGAUUCAAAGGAGCAAUCCGCUUUGAGAUGGGCCCGCGGCUGAUUAGCUAGUUGGUGAGGUAAUGGCUC
Molecule: ribosomal RNA, 248 nt
Filed under: uncultured bacterium
Lineage: Bacteria
Description: partial 16S ribosomal RNA
Rfam family: Bacterial small subunit ribosomal RNA
Source: RNAcentral